Molecule: ribosomal RNA, 424 nt
Filed under: uncultured bacterium
Lineage: Bacteria
Description: partial 16S ribosomal RNA
Rfam family: Bacterial small subunit ribosomal RNA
Source: RNAcentral
AAUAUUGGACAAUGUGCGAAAGCCUGAUCCAGCCAUGCCGCGUGUGUGAAGAAGGUCUUCGGAUUGUAAAGCACUUUAAGUAGGGAGGAAGGGCAGUAAGUUAAUACCUUGCUGUGUUGACGUUACCGACAGAAUAAGCACCGGCUAACUCCGUGCCAGCAGCCGGGGUAAUACGAAGGGUGCAAGCGUUAAUCGGAAUUACUGGGCGUAAAGCGCGCGUAGGUGGUUUGAUAAGUUGGAUGUGAAAGGCCCGGGCUCAACCUGGGAAUUGCAUCCAAAACUGUCUGACUGGAGUAUGGCAGAGGGUAGUGGAAUUUCCUGUGUAGCGGUGAAAUGCGUAGAUAUAGGAAGGAACAUCAGUGGCGAAGGCGACUACCUGGACUGAUACUGACACUGAGGUGCGAAAGCGUGGGGAGCAAACAGG